CACUACGCUGCUUUCUCACCACCUGAACAAGAUGAAGCAAAGCGGCCAGCUCGUUAUGGUAAAAAACAACUACAUGAAGCCUGACCCAAACGCUCCACCUAAGAGAGGUCGCGGCCGCCCACCUAAGCCUAAAGUGCCACUCCCUCCUGGAACCGUAAUAUCACCACCCAGACCACGUGGUCGCCCACCGAAGCCAAGAGACCCAUUUGCUCCAGUAGCUUCACCUAAGAAGAAAAGCCCCACGGGUAGUGGAAGGCCACGUGGACGUCCACCUAAGAAGGCUAAGCCGGCAGGUGCUCCAGCUCCGGUUAC
Molecule: long non-coding RNA, 312 nt
Filed under: Jatropha curcas
Lineage: Eukaryota; Viridiplantae; Streptophyta; Magnoliopsida; Malpighiales; Euphorbiaceae
Description: long non-coding RNA (JCUR_LNC001229)
Source: RNAcentral